Long non-coding RNA from Sycon ciliatum, 539 nucleotides. RefSeq lists it as uncharacterized. The transcript has 3 exons. NCBI's taxonomy places the organism in Eukaryota, Metazoa, Porifera, Calcarea, Leucosolenida, Sycettidae. The record is from RefSeq and is a predicted model, not a curated record.
ACUUCCUUCUUUGGAACUGCUUCUUGCAUGAGCUGUUUCGGAUAUUUCGUCUCCUGGCCUGGCUUAUUUCGUUUCGGUGCUGCUGAGACCUCCUUUCGCGGAAUAUUACUCAAUGACAGUGUGCGAAGAACGCGAGUUCCCCUUCUCGACGAAAAUCGUGGACUAACAGUUUGAAGUCAUUGAACUACUUCCAAGAGUUGUAUCGACAUCAACAGGAUUACGAUUUCAGUGCAAUAUGAUGCAGGAUGACCUUAUCACGAUAACCCAUGAUUAUAAACCAUUAUAAACACAGAAUCAACAAAAACAUCUGCGAAACGCACCUGGCGCAUGGCUACAUUUCUUCUAUAUAAAUCUGAUCGAGGGUGGGGAAAUCUGAAAUAUCUGAAAGGCAAGACAAAUUUAUGGCAGAGUCAUGAAAUUCUGCAACAGCAACAUGCACAGAAUGACCUCCGUAUAAAAAAAGUAUCGCCACCUGACUACUCACAUGUUUCCCCGCAGAAGAACAUGCAUUAUGCUAGUGCCAUUUUCUGCAAAAAAAG